CCAGCUCAAGUUUUAUGUUUCCCUUUCGAAGUAUUCAAUAGUCUUCUAGUUAGCUAUCUAGCUAGCUUUUCAAAGAGCGGCCUGUACGCUUUCGAGAAGAAGCAACAAAGGGGCGGGGCCAGCAGAAAGUACGGAGGCUGGGAAAGGACAAGAGAGUGCAGUCGCGAAAGGGUGAGAGGUUCGAGGGAAAGGGUUUGAACUAGCUUACACAUUUGCGCAAACCACAACCACAGACAAAAUCUGAAAAUAUAUUUGCAACAAAAUGUUAAGAAGACGCCUUCGUCCAAUGACUCUUCGGUGUAAUGUAAUGGAACUGCAAAUCAUGAUCAAGGGCAAUACAAGAGUCUAACGAGGCAAUUGAGAGAAUAAUGGAGCUGGAAGGACAUGAAAUGACCCACAUUCUUGUUUUUGUGAACGAGUCGGGGUUCAAUCUGGCCAAAGGCAGGACACGUGGCCGCAAUCUUAUUGGACACCGAGCCACAAUUGGCACACCAGGCCAAAGUGGGGGCAAUUUUACAAUGCGUGCUGCCAUUUCUGAGAAUGGCGUGAGCACACACAUAUUCCACACAUUGGGCCCUAUAACAUCCAACUUCUCCUGUCCUUCCUAAAUACACUUUACAGAGACCUAACACCAGAACACGAAAGAGGUUUAGUUAGACCAGAUUUGCCAAAUGAUGUAAUUGUGUGGGAUAAUGUCAGCUUCCACCGAACCAACAUUGUUAGGGAAUGGUUUGCUGCGCAUGAAAGGAUAACAAUGGAGUUCUUCCACCAUCCUCCCCAUUCCUGAAUCCAAUAGAAGAGGUUUAUUUCAGCACGGAGGUGGAAAGUAUAUGACUAUCGGGCACAAGAUCAGAUGUCUCUGUUAGAUGCCGUGAAUGAUGCAUGUGAGGACAUCACAUGUGAUCAAUGCAGGGGAUGGUUGCGCCACGCAAGGAGAUCUUUUUUAUUUCAUUUUGGUGGCAUUGGGCCAAUUUACAAAAAAUAACUCGAUUUUGAAGCAUGAAUUAAAUGUUUUGGGGUGAGUUACUACAUUUUGCAGACAUGCAAUAGAAUUGUGAUGUUCCAUAAAACAGUUGUGACAAUUGCACUUAGAGUUCACAAAAUGUUAAGACUGUUUAAAAAAAUGAGCCAAAGCGAUCGAGAAACUGUAAAAAGUACCAUUUAUAUUCAUUAAAC
This 1176-nucleotide long non-coding RNA is filed under the name Salmo salar (Atlantic salmon). Its description in RNAcentral is "lncRNA (ENSSSAG00000108795.1)". The record is from RNAcentral. Lineage: Eukaryota; Metazoa; Chordata; Actinopteri; Salmoniformes; Salmonidae.